RNAcentral lists this ribosomal RNA (328 nucleotides) under uncultured eukaryote. RNAcentral describes it as "partial 18S ribosomal RNA". It matches the Rfam family "Eukaryotic small subunit ribosomal RNA", at positions 1470 to 1796 of the family's 1831-position model. The record is from RNAcentral.
CCCUUAGAUGUUCUGGGCUGCACGCGCGCUACACUGAAGCGUUCAACGAGUAUUCACCUUGCCCGGGAGGGUUGGGUAAUCUUUUGAAAACGCUUCGUGAUGGGGAUAGAUUAUUGCAAUUAUUAAUCUUCAACGAGGAAUUCCUAGUAAGCGCGAGUCAUCAGCUCGUGCUGAUUACGUCCCUGCCCUUUGUACACACCGCCCGUCGCUCCUACCGAUUGAAUGGUCCGGUGAAAUCUUCGGAUCUGAGAGAUGUCUGAUUAAUUUCGGACGCCUUUUGGAAAAGUUGCUUAAACCUUACCAUUUAGAGGAAGGUGAAGUCGUAACA